This 141-nucleotide non-coding RNA is filed under the name bovine gut metagenome. RNAcentral's name for it is "glmS glucosamine-6-phosphate activated ribozyme". It matches the Rfam family "glmS glucosamine-6-phosphate activated ribozyme aptamer", at positions 11 to 154 of the family's 167-position model. Rfam says of the family: This entry contains a glucosamine-6-phosphate activated ribozyme that is found in the mRNA for GlmS. GlmS is an enzyme that uses fructose-6-phosphate and glutamine to generate glucosamine-6-phosphate. The record is from RNAcentral.
CUUAGCGCCUGGUCCUGAGGGGACGGAAUAAACUCAGGAUGACGAGGAGAAACGUGAUCGAAAGAUUCGGCGGAUGCGUUUCCGCACUGGCUGAGUGCGUAUACAGAAAAAAUAUGUGGGUAACUGCAAAACAAAGUUCUG